This 286-nucleotide unclassified non-coding RNA is filed under the name uncultured bacterium. RNAcentral's name for it is "partial contains 16S ribosomal RNA and 16S-23S ribosomal RNA intergenic spacer region". The stretch from base 1 to 257 matches the Rfam family "Bacterial small subunit ribosomal RNA", at positions 72 to 353 of the family's 1533-position model. The record is from RNAcentral.
UUCUCUUCGGAGAGGAGUGGCGCACGGGUGAGUAACGCGUGGGAACCUGCCCCGGAGUGGGGGAUAACCCGGCGAAAGCCGGGCUAAUACCGCAUACGGCCUAUGGGCGAAAGAUUUAUCGCUCUGGGAGGGGCCCGCGUCCGAUUAGCUAGUUGGUGGGGUAACGGCCUACCAAGGCGACGAUCGGUAGCUGGUCUGAGAGGACUAUCAGCCACACUGGGACUGAGACACGGCCCAGAGUCCUACGGGAGGCAGCAUGUCGGAUCUGCAAGAAAACUCGAGCCAU